Molecule: long non-coding RNA, 857 nt
Organism: Mauremys mutica (yellowpond turtle)
Lineage: Eukaryota; Metazoa; Chordata; Testudines; Geoemydidae
Exons: 4
Source: RefSeq, a predicted model, not a curated record
UUGCUGAAUGGAGGGAAGAACUUCUCUUGGCUGCAGAAUUGAAGUUUCUCUCUUGCCUUCUACCACCUUCAUGUCUGGGAGUCCCAGUUUAGGACGCACAUUCACAAGACAGACCUCAUUGCUAGUAAGAUGGGCAGAAGCGGAGGUUCGAUUUCCAUGCUGAGCAAAUCACUAUGAAGCUGUUCCUUCAGUCUAAAGGAGAUGGAAUUCCUUGGACACUGGGAAAUGGCCACUGCAGAUUCUGCCCAAUGGGAAGCAGAAUACCACUUGCAACCCAGAAAGUACUGUCAUCUGGUCCUACAAGCAGGAAACACGGAGAAGGGAACCUCUAUUGUCCUGAAGACACCCCACGUCCUUUGGCUUUACACUUCCUUUAAGGCCACAAAUAUCUGGUGAAAGACAACUGGAAAGGGCUCUUUUCAGAGCCUUCUGACAUCACUGCAAGCCAAAACAACACAACAUAUUGGGAUAGCCCAAUGACUAUUUUUAAUGUUUGACUGAUUGCGUAUCCCAUGGCUGGAGAAAAAGGUGAGCCAGAGGCAUGAUGUUCACUUCCGCAAAGCAUUCAUAGGUCUAUCUGUAAGUUGGUAGAUGUUUUUCAUACACAAAAAAGUUAAACACAUAUACUGGAUAUUUGGGAAAACCACAGACACAGAAUUUUCCAGGAACACAAAGACAGUUCAUUGCUGUACUAAGGUUGCUAGGUUCAGAAAGAACAUAGAGCAAUACAAAAUGGCACAAGAGGAAGGGUGAAGAGCAGAAAACAACUUCAGUUCAUUCCCCGUUUAGCACUUAGGAUUAGCCAUCUCUGGUAAAUGGUUUUCAGAAGCAAUUUAUCAUGCCUCUUUUGUGCAGAA